This 328-nucleotide unclassified non-coding RNA is filed under the name soil metagenome. RNAcentral describes it as "partial contains 5.8S ribosomal RNA, internal transcribed spacer 2, and large subunit ribosomal RNA". The stretch from base 1 to 120 matches the Rfam family "5.8S ribosomal RNA", at positions 35 to 154 of the family's 154-position model. The record is from RNAcentral.
GAUGAAGAACGUAGCGAAAUGCGAUAAGUAAUGUGAAUUGCAGAAUUCAGUGAAUCAUCGAAUCUUUGAACGCACAUUGCGCCCCCUGGUAUUCCGGGGGGCAUGCCUGUCCGAGCGUCAUUACAACCCUCAAGCUCAGCUUGGUAUUGGGCCCCGCCGACCCGGCGGGCCCUAAAGUCAGUGGCGGUGCCGUCCGGCUCCGAGCGUAGUAAUUCUUCUCGCUCUGGAGGUCCGGUCGUGUGCUCGCCAGCAACCCCCAAUUUUUUUCAGGUUGACCUCGGAUCAGGUAGGGAUACCCGCUGAACUUAAGCAUAUCAAUAAGGGAGGA